RNAcentral lists this ribosomal RNA (1171 nucleotides) under Bacillus subtilis. RNAcentral describes it as "bacterial SSU rRNA". It matches the Rfam family "Bacterial small subunit ribosomal RNA", at positions 62 to 1221 of the family's 1533-position model. The record is from RNAcentral. Lineage: Bacteria; Bacillati; Bacillota; Bacilli; Caryophanales; Bacillaceae.
CCGAGCGGACAGAUGAGGAGCUUGCUCCCUGAUGUUAGCGGCGGACGGGUGAGUAACACGUGGGUAACCUGCCUGUAAGACUGGGAUAACUCCGGGAAACCGGGGCUAAUACCGGAUGGUUGUUUGAACCGCAUGGUUCAAACAUAAAAGGUGGCUUCGGCUACCACUUACAGAUGGACCCGCGGCGCAUUAGCUAGUUGGUGAGGUAACGGCUCACCAAGGCAACGAUGCGUAGCCGACCUGAGAGGGUGAUCGGCCACACUGGGACUGAGACACGGCCCAGACUCCUACGGGAGGCAGCAGUAGGGAAUCUUCCGCAAUGGACGAAAGUCUGACGGAGCAACGCCGCGUGAGUGAUGAAGGUUUUCGGAUCGUAAAGCUCUGUUGUUAGGGAAGAACAAGUACCGUUCGAAUAGGGCGGUACCUUGACGGUACCUAACCAGAAAGCCACGGCUAACUACGUGCCAGCAGCCGCGGUAAUACGUAGGUGGCAAGCGUUGUCCGGAAUUAUUGGGCGUAAAGGGCUCGCAGGCGGUUUCUUAAGUCUGAUGUGAAAGCCCCCGGCUCAACCGGGGAGGGUCAUUGGAAACUGGGGAACUUGAGUGCAGAAGAGGAGAGUGGAAUUCCACGUGUAGCGGUGAAAUGCGUAGAGAUGUGGAGGAACACCAGUGGCGAAGGCGACUCUCUGGUCUGUAACUGACGCUGAGGAGCGAAAGCGUGGGGAGCGAACAGGAUUAGAUACCCUGGUAGUCCACGCCGUAAACGAUGAGUGCUAAGUGUUAGGGGGUUUCCGCCCCUUAGUGCUGCAGCUAACGCAUUAAGCACUCCGCCUGGGGAGUACGGUCGCAAGACUGAAACUCAAAGGAAUUGACGGGGGCCCGCACAAGCGGUGGAGCAUGUGGUUUAAUUCGAAGCAACGCGAAGAACCUUACCAGGUCUUGACAUCCUCUGACAAUCCUAGAGAUAGGACGUCCCCUUCGGGGGCAGAGUGACAGGUGGUGCAUGGUUGUCCUCACCUCGGGUCCUGAAAAGUUGGGUUAAGUCCCGCAACAAGCCCAACCCUUGAUCUUAUUUGCCACCUUUCGUUGGGCCCCCUAAGGUGACUGCCGGUGACAACCGAAGAAAGGGGGGGAGACGUCAAUCACCGGCCCCUUAGAACUGGGCUACCCCU